Cinara cedri is the source of this 828-nucleotide non-coding RNA. The record is from the annotation of a GenBank genome assembly. Lineage: Eukaryota; Metazoa; Arthropoda; Insecta; Hemiptera; Aphididae.
UAUCCGGCCCUUUUUUCGCGUCCACCGACUUUGGAAAACGGUUGUUGUUUUUCUUCGUUUCCUCUCCCCCUUUGUUCUCCGAAUUUUUCCCAACGAAAAUAAUUUAAUUAUCGUAGUUAUAAUAUUUCACUCGUUCAUUUUAAAUGAUUUACUAUUUUAUUACCAUAAUAUACGUUUUUUAAUAAUAUAAUUAGUUAUAAAGAAAAUGGGAGGGCUAGUUUUGCAAACAAAACGCGUUAAAUAUAUUUUCCCGUGAGAGAUGGGACGAGAACAGACCAUUUUUCAAGGUUUUCCGUGUCCACACGACGAAGUCCAAUGUACGCCCAGUGGACAAAGAUUUUUAACUGCUAUGUGCCCAUCACAUAAAAUAAAUAUUAAAUAUUAUAUGUAUACCUACUGAACAAUUUUAUAUUAAGUAUAUGUACUAUGUAUAGUCGUCGACCCUUUUGGUUUUUUUAACGAUGGAAUGGGGAAAUUGGACAGGCAGUGUAUAUUCAUUGAAAAAAAAAAAAGGUUUGACGAUCAACAAUAACAAAAAUAACGUGUGUACCGUUAAGAUAACGUUCCUGUAUAUUGUAAUAUUAUACGCGUCAUGUCACGACAAGGCCACGGUCACUCGAAGUGUACCUAAUCAUAAUAUUGUUCCGCGAAAAUGACCUACCUAACCUCUUAUAUAUUACAUAUUAUAUCUUCUAUUAGUUCGAUGAUGCCGUAAACCGUGUAAAUACUAAUAUAUAAUAUACCUAUUUUACAAACUCCAUUAUUUCGCAAACAACAGUGUUGUCCUGCUCGCGUAAUUUGAGACCGACAUAUUAUGUUUUUGUGUUG